RNAcentral lists this ribosomal RNA (644 nucleotides) under Citrobacter werkmanii NBRC 105721. RNAcentral's name for it is "bacterial LSU rRNA". It matches the Rfam family "Bacterial large subunit ribosomal RNA", at positions 842 to 1488 of the family's 2925-position model. The record is from RNAcentral. Lineage: Bacteria; Pseudomonadati; Pseudomonadota; Gammaproteobacteria; Enterobacterales; Enterobacteriaceae.
GAGAUAGCUGGUUCUCCCCGAAAGCUAUUUAGGUAGCGCCUCGUGAAUUCAUCUUCGGGGGUAGAGCACUGUUUCGGCUAGGGGGUCAUCCCGACUUACCAACCCGAUGCAAACUGCGAAUACCGAAGAAUGUUAUCACGGGAGACACACGGCGGGUGCUAACGUCCGUCGUGAAGAGGGAAACAACCCAGACCGCCAGCUAAGGUCCCAAAGUCAUGGUUAAGUGGGAAACGAUGUGGGAAGGCACAGACAGCCAGGAUGUUGGCUUAGAAGCAGCCAUCAUUUAAAGAAAGCGUAAUAGCUCACUGGUCGAGUCGGCCUGCGCGGAAGAUGUAACGGGGCUAAACCAUGCACCGAAGCUGCGGCAGCGACACUAUGUGUUGUUGGGUAGGGGAGCGUUCUGUAAGCCGUUGAAGGUGUCCUGUGAGGGAUGCUGGAGGUAUCAGAAGUGCGAAUGCUGACAUAAGUAACGAUAAUGCGGGUGAAAAACCCGCACGCCGGAAGACCAAGGGUUCCUGUCCAACGUUAAUCGGGGCAGGGUGAGUCGACCCCUAAGGCGAGGCCGAAAGGCGUAGUCGAUGGGAAACAGGUUAAUAUUCCUGUACUUGGUGUUACUGCGAAGGGGGGACGGAGAAGGCUAUGUU